Molecule: ribosomal RNA, 253 nt
Filed under: uncultured bacterium
Lineage: Bacteria
Description: partial 16S ribosomal RNA
Rfam family: Bacterial small subunit ribosomal RNA
Source: RNAcentral
UACGGGGGGAGCAAGCGUUGUUCGGAUUUACUGGGCGUAAAGGGCGCGUAGGCGGCGCAACAAGUCACUUGUGAAAUCUUCAGGCUUAACCUGAAGCGGCCAAGUGAUACUGUCGUGCUAGAGUGCGGAAGGGGCUACUGGAAUUCUCGGUGUAGCGGUGAAAUGCGUAGAUAUCGAGAGGAACACCUGCGGCGAAGGCGGGUAGCUGGGCCGACACUGACGCUGAUGCGCGAAAGCCAGGGGAGCGAACGGG